Molecule: non-coding RNA, 200 nt
Filed under: Clostridiales bacterium
Lineage: Bacteria; Bacillati; Bacillota; Clostridia; Eubacteriales
Description: T-box sequence
Rfam family: T-box leader
About the family: Uncharged tRNA acts as the effector for transcription antitermination of genes in the T-box leader family.
Source: RNAcentral
AUAAUAGUGUUGAUACAGAUUAGUAAGCAAUUUGAUUCCUUCAGAGAGAGGGUGGCUGGUGAAAGCCCUCGGAUAGAAUGCUGAAGCUGCUGUGGAGCAUCCAAAAGACGGAGCAGCCGUUAUCCUGCACUGACAUAGUCAAUCGAGUGGCCGUUAUAUGGCAACUAGGGUGGUACCGCGAAAUACUCUUCGUCCCUAUU